GUGGGAGCCAGCCUGCUGGCGAUUGCGGUGUGUCAUUCAGCAUAUUCGUUGCCUGAUACACCGCAAUCGCCAGCAGGCUGGCUCCCAC
Molecule: unclassified non-coding RNA, 88 nt
Filed under: Pseudomonas granadensis
Lineage: Bacteria; Pseudomonadati; Pseudomonadota; Gammaproteobacteria; Pseudomonadales; Pseudomonadaceae
Source: RNAcentral